This is a long non-coding RNA of Nelumbo nucifera (sacred lotus), 1268 nucleotides long. RefSeq lists it as uncharacterized. NCBI's taxonomy places the organism in Eukaryota, Viridiplantae, Streptophyta, Magnoliopsida, Proteales, Nelumbonaceae. The record is from RefSeq and is a predicted model, not a curated record.
UCUCCUCCGAUCUCUCUUCUGUUUCAGGAGAGAGAGUAUGUGUGUCUCCUCUGUAAAUCUGUAAGGUCAAUCUAAGAGAACCAAAAACAGAUGAAAACGAAGAUAUGAAGAAGAUAUCUUACUGUUUUUCUCUUCUUCUUCCACUUCCAAGUUGUUGCCUGAAUCUUCAGAACGCUGCAACCGAGUUCCUAGCGGAAUCCCUUUUAAAGCACCGAAUCAAAGCUUACGACAUUUCCGCGUUUAGCAGGAAAAUCCAUUAUCGUGUUUCUUCUCCUUCUCAUCUUCUCUCUCCUAAAACUUCAUCGCUGCCUCCAUGAAGUAACACUAAUACUGGAGAAGGUGCGACAUGUGAUGAAUACGAUUCUCUCAACAAGCCAACUAACAAAGUAACACUAAUACUGUUCGUUGAGAUUUAUUCUUUCAAGCUUUUCCCCUACACUUCUUGGAGUAAGCUAUUAGAAUCAGAGCGUGUGACAAGUGCGAACAGGGCAUGAAACACCGCUUCGAUAAUGGCUUAUGGAAAGGGAAAGGCAAGGAGCUUUCCGAUUUUCUAUUUGACCUGAAGAAGGUCUCGCACCUCCUGGAGCUCCAAAGUUCGGGAGAAUUAAAACUCUUUUGAGCAGAUCUAACUGAUGAAGGGAGGUUCGAUGCCACUGUCUCUGGAUGCGGCGUGGUCUUCCACGUCGCUACUCCAGUCCACUUUGCUUCUCCGGAUCCUGAGAAUGACAUGAUCAAGCCAGCAAUUCAGGGAAGGUUAAGUUUUGCUGGAGACUACAAUUCUACGCGGGACGAAGUGAUUCAUUCCUGGAAACAUGUCAAGGAAAAAACUGGAUCUGAUGCUGAGGAAAAAUACAGAGACGCGGUGAACAAAAGGCGAGGGAAAAAUAUUGCAGAGAUAGAACAGCAGCGAUGAAUGAGAAUCGGAAUCCUAUUCGUACCAAACAAUUGGUAGUUAUCCGAAUAGGAAUGGAAAUGGGUCACUUGAAUAGGAAUGUAGAAGCUUCGUACCACGCAUGCGUUGAUACCGAUAACCGGCCCCAUCUCCAUUUUGAAUCAACGAAUUGAAAGCUUUUUGGGACUUGCCCAAAUGUCAAAGAUCGGUCGCAGAGGCUACAGAUCAAACAGAAAAGAGAUCCGUUCAUGAUGUUAGAUCAUCACCCAUCAUUCACACUAAAGUGCAAAGGAAAGCACUUCAUUAAGUCGGCCAGGACGAGGGAGUUUGGUUUCGUUCACAUUUAUUCAGUAAACGUGUUUAUGGGUGGUGUUAU